This is a long non-coding RNA of Symsagittifera roscoffensis, 422 nucleotides long. RefSeq lists it as uncharacterized. The transcript is spliced from 2 exons. The record is from RefSeq and is a predicted model, not a curated record. Lineage: Eukaryota; Metazoa; Xenacoelomorpha; Acoela; Convolutidae.
AAGCAUUUUAAGAUAGAAUUGAGAAUGAGGCUGACUAGAGCCCUCAAUAGUGCGUUCAGAAAGCCGAAGUACGCAGAGUACGACCCUACGAAGACUGGAGUAUCGCAUUACGUCAACUACACCAGUCAGAAGGGAAGAUGGAAUAUGAUGUGGGUCAUCAUCUCAUUUUGGUCCUCAAUUUACAUUGUCAACAAGUACACUUCUGUUCCAAAACCGCCCGGUGAUACCUCCAAAACAGACGAAUUUCUGGCACUGUUGAAGUGAAACCAGAUGGCAAUUCCGAAGGUGACGCUAACUGCGACUAAAUGUUACCACAGAUUAAGUCUCAUAACCAAAUACUACUGAACAAAUAAAACUAAAUGGAAUAACAAACACAUAUUUGGCUAUAGACUAUUUUGACAAUUUAAACUUUGAUCAACUGU